UACGUAGGGUGCGAGCGUUAAUCGGAUUUACUGGGCGUAAAGCGUGCGCAGGCGGUGAUGUAAGUCAGGUGUGAAAUCCCCGGGCUUAACCUGGGAACUGCAUUUGUGACUGCAUCGCUGGAGUGCGGCAGAGGGGGAUGGAAUUCCGCGUGUAGCAGUGAAAUGCGUAGAUAUGCGGAGGAACACCGGUGGCGAAGGCAAUCCCCUGGGCCUGCACUGACGCUCAUGCACGAAAGCGUGGGGAGCAAACAGG
This 253-nucleotide ribosomal RNA is filed under the name uncultured bacterium. RNAcentral's name for it is "partial 16S ribosomal RNA". It matches the Rfam family "Bacterial small subunit ribosomal RNA", at positions 524 to 776 of the family's 1533-position model. The record is from RNAcentral.